AAAGUCCCCUUCGGGGGGCAAGUAGAGUGGCGCACGGGUGAGUAACACGUAGGUAAUCUACCUUUGGAUUGGGAAUAACCACCGGAAACGGUGGCUAAUACCGAAUAAUGCAGCGGCACCUAAUGGUGACAGUUGUUAAAGCGGGGGAUCGCAAGACCUCGCGUCUGAAGAGGAGCCUGCGGCAGAUUAGCUAGUUGGUAAGGUAACGGCUUACCAAGGCGAUGAUCUGUAGCCGGCCUGAGAGGGCGGUCGGCCACACUGACACUGACAUACGGGUCAGACUCCUACGGGAGGCAGCAGUCGGGAAUUUUGGGCAAUGGGCGAAAGCCUGACCCAGCAACGCCGCGUGAAGGAUGAAAUCCUUCGGGAUGUAAACUUCGCAAGAACGGGAAGAAUAAGUAAGGGUUAAUAUCUCUUACGAUGACGGUACUGUUUGUAAGCUCCGGCUAACUCCGUGCCAGCAGCCGCGGUAAUACGGGGGGAGCAAGCGUUGUUCGGAUUUACUGGGCGUAAAGGGCGCGUAGGCGGCCACCGCAAGUCGACUGUGAAAUCUCCGGGCUUAACCCGGAAAGGUCAGCCGAUACUGCGGGGCUAGAGUGCAGAAGGGGCAACUGGAAUUCUCGGUGUAGCGGUGAAAUGCGUAGAUAUCGAGAGGAACACCUGCGGCGAAGGCGGGUUGCUGGGCUGACACUGACGCUGAUGCGCGAAAGCUAGGGGAGCGAACGGGAUUAGAUACCCCGGUAGUCCUAGCCUUAAACGAUGAAUGCUUGGUGUCUGGGGUUUUAUAGUCCCCGGGUGCCGUCGCUAACGCUUUAAGCA
This 819-nucleotide ribosomal RNA is filed under the name uncultured Actinomycetes bacterium. RNAcentral's name for it is "bacterial SSU rRNA". It matches the Rfam family "Bacterial small subunit ribosomal RNA", at positions 70 to 866 of the family's 1533-position model. Lineage: Bacteria; Bacillati; Actinomycetota; Actinomycetes. The record is from RNAcentral.